RNAcentral lists this ribosomal RNA (301 nucleotides) under uncultured bacterium. Its description in RNAcentral is "partial 16S ribosomal RNA". It matches the Rfam family "Bacterial small subunit ribosomal RNA", at positions 509 to 807 of the family's 1533-position model. The record is from RNAcentral.
CAGCAGCCGCGGUAAUACGAAGGGGGCUAGCGUUGUUCGGAUUUACUGGGCGUAAAGCGCACGUAGGCGGACUUUUAAGUCAGGGGUGAAAUCCCGGGGCUCAACCCCGGAACUGCCUUUGAUACUGGGAGUCUUGAGUUCGAGAGAGGUGAGUGGAAUUGCGAGUGUAGAGGUGAAAUUCGUAGAUAUUCGCAGGAACGCCAGUGGCGAAGGCGGCUCACUGGCUCGAUACUGACGCUGAGGUGCGAAAGCGUGGGGAGCAAACAGGAUUAGAUACCCCCGUAGUCCCUGUCUCUUAUAC